Non-coding RNA from Cricetulus griseus (Chinese hamster), 3956 nucleotides. The record is from RefSeq and is a predicted model, not a curated record. Lineage: Eukaryota; Metazoa; Chordata; Mammalia; Rodentia; Cricetidae.
GCAUGUAAAAUUACACAACACUGGAUGGAAAUGAAGAAAAAUUCACUCUCAAGAGGGCAUUAAUCCUCUCAACUACCCAAUCGCUUCUUAAAACACCAUUUCCCAGCAGCAUUACAAAAGCAAUCACAUUUCCAUGUAAGUUUUAAAAAAGAUGACCCCUAUUCGAUUCCUGCAAUCUCAGGAUGGAUGUUUUGCCAUUUGAAAAUGAAUAACACAUAAAAGGUAGGUUUACUGUAUUCAAGUCAGAUGGAUGAAAGAAUACAUUUUCCUGUUGGUAAAAAUUCUUAUCAAUUUUUCCCUCUACAUGCUUAUACCUUGGUAGCAAUUAAGCAUUUUCUCACAUGCAGGUUUUAUGCUUUGCCUUCCUGAAGGAUUUUGCUUUUCCUUGUUUGCUGAGGGUAGAACCCGGGGCCGCAGGGAUGCAGACCAAACUGCCUCACUGACCAAAUCUCUAGCCCUCUUCUGAGUACUUUCUCUAGUGAGUCUUUUUUUUUUUUUGGAUGAGUAAAUUGAGAUUCAAUUCUAUGGUAGAAAGAUGCAUGUUUUUAGGAAAUGCUCCUAUGGAACAGAAGUCAGACGUUACACAGAAAGUGAGAGACCUUGGAACACAUAACUCUAAAUGGGAUGUUUUUAUCAAAUCCCUCCCCUCAGAGCUCAAGGAACCUUGCUGUAGAGGAGGCAGGAAGAGUGUAAGAGCCAGAAGGGAUGGAGUAAAGUUCGUAAGAACUCACUUAGACUGAAUCAGCAAGCACAGGGCCCACAGGGUCUGCACCAGUAGUGCAAGCUGCACUGAUACGACAAAAAAGGACAGCAUGAGAGAUGGGGAUGGAAGAAAGUUGUCUCUGUGAGUGGGUCCAAACAACAGUGCUCAUCUGGAGCUGCUGUUGAUCAGGACACAACCAGAAGGAGUGCCUCCCAAAGUCCAGACGACUAUCUACAGCUAAAGAAAACCCUACAACCUCUGACAAGCUUGAAGCUGAAGACCCAGAGAGUACAGCAGACCCAAUCCUGUGGGUGCCUCGUGUACCAUCUAGUGGUUUGACAGCUGAAGAUUCCAUGGGCAUCAGAUGAGGGUCUUACUAGAACCAGACAUGUCUUUGGUGUCCCUGAAGGCCUGAUAUUUCCAUGUUUCUGAUCUCUGAUGCCCAGACUCCGGAACAGCUUAAGUGUACAUUUGUGAGUCCUGUGCCUCUGGUUUCUGAGUACAGAGUAUCUGCAACUGGUUCUUGAUAGGUGAUUCGGGUUUGGUUGCUUUUAGAGCAUAUCCAAUAACUGGUAUCUGUUUUCCAAUGUCAUGCAGGACCUUCAUGGAUCCCUGUUACUCUCUUUCCAGUGCAGAGCACUGCCAGUCUCCUCUUGACUGCUGAAGAAGUGCCUUAUUUGACUGCUGCAGUCAGCACAGGCCUCAGGCCAGCCCAGUGCUGCACCCACGGACCUAAGUCCACUUGGCAGCUCUAGUGUGGCACCUGCUGCCACUGACCACCUACUGAUUUUGCCUGAGGAUCCCAUCCACCUACCAGGAUCCGGCCUCUGGUGGGAAGAGAUGUCUGCUGUCUGGAUGGUCACAGCACUGACAUUAUUCAGCUCCCUGUUCCAGCUCCUGAAAGCUGUCCUGACAAAGGCAGUCACCCACAGUUUUCCUGACAGACAGCACUGACAACUGAAGGAGCAACUAAGCAGGUUAGAGCAGAGGGCCAGGAAGAAGGGUCAUAGAAGAAGAUACAUGAUGAACAAAAGUGGAGAACAGACAAAAUGCUACAGAAACCAAAGGAAAGAACCUGUAGCCCCUCCAGAGAGUAGCAACAGCUCUCAGCCUGGUCUCUGAGACCCUCAACCCUGACAGCUGUAAUAUUGGGCACUGAGAAGGGCCAAGGGUCCUAAUAAAUGAGGUUGCAGGAAGACUAUAACACUAAUGGGUACCGAGGCCCACUGGUUUUACAUAACUUUUGCUGCCACCCACACUGCCAAACACUGAGGGGGAACAAAGGCUGCUAUAGCUGAGCAUUUGAGGGGUUCCCUGUCUAUCCAUGAUUUCUACUCAAGUGGAACCUGCAGCCAGAUCAUUAGUGAUACUUGUGUUAAUGGUGUUCAGUUUCUCCUAACCCAAUGGCCAAUAGUCAAACCAAGCCCAGCCUUGGCAUGGGCAGUAGCUGAAAGGCUGUGGCAAAGCCUUUGCUGUUGGCAAAGUGAUCUGCCAACCAGUGUUUGAGAGAUAGUUGAAGCUCUACUUCCUUCAGAGGCAAAGAUGAGUUAUAACCAGCUAUAACUCAAGAUAAUUUAACCACACUCAAAAAUCACCCACAUGAUUACCCGUGGCACUAAAGAACAAAUUUGGGUGUGGCUGAAAGAAGACACUCUACAUCCCAAUGAAAAAUGAAUUUAAGUCAAAAUAUGUGAUAAGAGAUGAUAAUUUAUGCAAAUUAUUCAAGACUUAAUUUUAGCAAAAGGAGAUGGUUGGUCUAGGUCUUUGGGGGGCUUGGAAAGAAAGAGAAAGUUAAGUAUAUCAGCAAUGUAUGUAUUCAGAGGAAAGUAGGAAGGGCUGCAGGGGGCAGGAGGCAGGGAGGGCCUCAUGAUGGAAAAGGGAAUGGAAGUCACAUACACACACACAUGCAUGCACACACAUAUGGGUACACAUAUGCACAUAUGUGUAUACAAAUGCACACAUGUAUGCACAACACGCAUAUACACAUACAUUCAAAUACACCCUCACACACAGUAUAGAUGUUUAAAUGCUGCUAAUCACUAUUUUAGAAGGCAUAUGAUUUUCAGACUUUGUUUUUUUUUUUAAACGAGUUUGUAUCUUCUAAAUUGUUAAAGAAAAAGGAAAAAAAAAGUAUUAAAAGGAUUUUUGGAAAAAUAGAAGAAGAGAAUCUUUUUCCCCCCCCAGAGUGUGAUAUUAGAUUUCAUUUCUCCUCACAAUGUGUUAAAAGUUUCAAAAGUGGCUCUCAGCCCUUUUAAUUGCUGGCUACAUAAUGGAUCUACAACAGUAUGUAUGCCACAUUCGGGGGUUGGGGGUCACCGAACUGUGCCCUGAGGCAGAGGUAGUGGUCUCUUGAGGAUAAAGGGAGAAACCUCCAGAAGGGCAUGUGAUUUGUAUUGCUACUUGAGCAGCUGUGGGCCUAGGGCAGCAUCACUGGGACCCACAGGCCUAAUGAAUCAAGCUCUGGAGUUUGCUUUUGGAGAUCAUGUUUUUGAAACACUCUAGCUGACUCUGUUGCUUUUGAAUUAUGAGACCACAGAGUUAUGGAUGCACAGACAAUGCAAAAAAAAAUAAGGUGAGGUCAAAGGGGAAGAAGUGUUUUUUUUUUUUUCUCUUUUCUACAUCAGAGACUCAUGUGUCCAACAGUUACUAGCUAUUUUAUGUUUCAUGAUUUCGAGUGACCAAUGGAUCUUAGCAUUUUUAUCACAAAGCUGUUUUGUUCUUCCCACUCUCCUGUCUAGAGCAGGAUGUCUCAGCAUGGCACUGUAGGCAGCUUGUGCCAGAUAAUUUGUCAUGGGAGGCGAUCCUGUUUGCAGUAGGGCUUUAGCAGCCUCCUAGGCUUCUACCCACUUGAUGCUAUUAGCAUUCUCUCAUUAGCAACAACCAAAUAUUAUGUAGGCACAGUCAAAUGUCCCCUAGGAGGCAAAAUCAUCCCAGUUGAAAACCACCAGUUGGAAAAAAAUCAAAACUCAAGUAAGGCAUACUUAUUAAGUAAUAGUAUAUUUCCUUGUUUUUAUUAAUACAAACAUAUAUAACUGUCAGUUAGAACAUGGAAGGAUAGGGUUUCUUGGCUCCAUGUGGUUAGUCUCUAAUAUGUUGAUCAAGAGUGGUGGUAACAGUUCUUUAAAAUUUUUGUUUUGUUUCUGUCAUAAGGAAUCAUAGAUAAUCUAUUUGUUAUUCAAAUAUUAAAUAUAAUGUAGUAUAGAAAGUGUGCAGCAAUUUGGUGAAGAGUAUUCAAUAAAACAUACUGCUAUAA